UCAAUGAUAAGCUUUUCAACUUUGCUUCGAUGUUUUUCCAAGCUUUCAGGCAGAAAAGUAUGAGAAAAUCAUUAAAAAGAAAUAAAAUUUAUGCAGCUGUAAAAGAAGAAUCAAGUAUUUUACUUCAUUACGCAAGAAAUAUAUAUCUUCUAAUUAAUCUGCUACUCCAUUCAUAUUAUUUUUGGGUUCCAGAGCUUGCACCAUAAAUAUAAAUAAUAUCUGUUUGCUAAUAGCUUUAAGAAUGGGUUUUUUUUCUCCAAGGUAACGGAUAAGUUUAUAAAAGAGUUUCAAAGUAGGUAGAACCUUUAGUUACCUCUAAAUCACAGACUGGUAUUUUUUAACGUAGUGAAUAAUAUUGCAUUAAUAUUUAACCACCAAUCCCGAAAUAAAUCAUUUUAAAAAAUGAUAUUAACAUUUUUUGGACUAGUUAUAGUGUUUCUACCAUCAAGUAAGAAAAAUAAAAAUGCAUUCAAUAGUAUUUUAUCAUUAUAAUGACAUUAAAUUUCAGUAUCUUGUCGACAAGGACCAUUUAUUUAUUUCAAUUACACCAAAUCCAUGACAGUUGAAGAAGGAGAUUCACCACGACUUGAGUGUUAUGCUGGUGAUAAUUCACAUUUACCUAUUAGAUGGCAUAGAGAUCCACUGUACAGCAGAAGACGAAAUCUCACGUUGCCAAACGGAGAAUUAAGCUGCUAUUGUGGCAACGUUCUAGAACUCUCAUCUAUUACCAAAGAUCAACGAGGUAGAUAUGUUUGUAGUACUGACAGUGUAUGGGGAAGUGUUUCGAAAUAUAUCAAAGUUAGUGUCAUUUUUGCACCAAUCAUCCUGGAAACAUAUCGUAUAGAUCGUUUUGAAAUUAAAAAACUCGAAUUACGGUGUAAUGUUGAAGCCUAUCCAUCACCUCAAAUUGUGUGGAUAAAAAACAAUAUAACAUUGACUACAAAUAAACAUCAUCAAAUCAUCACUGAAUAUCAAUAUGAUAAUGUACACAAUUCAACGCUAAUAAUAUCAACAGAAUUUGAUUACCAUGGUACUUACAAGUGUAAGGCUUUUAAUUUAAAUGGCCGUUCAAUUGUGACUUUUGAAGUAACAGAUCCAGUUGUAGAAAGAACUUUUACUUCUAGAAGAUAUUUCUGAAUCUAUGGAAUAUUUAUGUUUGUUAUCUUAAGAAAAUUCUUAAAAUAGAUAUUAAUCUUUUCAUUGCCAUCAAGAAACAGAAAUAGCAGCUGUUUAUAUUAAAAGAUUUACAAAUUUUUUGCGUUGGAUAAUUAAAUUAAAAAAAAAUAAAAAUAUUUUCUAUAAAUUAUUGUAAUAAUUGAUUCGAAUUAUUUUUGGGUCUUAGAACUUACACUAGAGGCGCACUUUAGCUCCAAAAAAGCUAGAGAAAGAAAAAGAUAUGCAAAGGCUUUGUGUGGGACUAUUAUUUCUCUCACUUUUAGAAACUAUACUAUUGAAAACCUCAAAUGUCUAGUUCGCUCUAUUCUAACAUACACCAUAAAUAUAAAAAAUAUUAAUUCACUAAUAGUGUCAAGUUGUUUUUUAUCAUCAAGGUCGCAGAUAAAUUUAUACACAUAAAAAAAAAUUACGGCGUAAAAAGAAUCAUCAGUCAUUUUUAAAUCAUCGACUAGCGAUUAUUAAUGUGAUCAAUUAUAUUUUAUAAAUUGUUUUAAAUCAUGAAUCCACAAUUUAAUUAAUUUUUAACAUGAUGUUGAUAUUUUUGAUACUUGUUGCAGUGUUCUUACCAUCAACAUUUUGUUUAGAUGCACGAAAUAAUUAUUACAUCUCAUACACAAGAGUUGAAGAAGGGGAAUCAUUAGAAAUUGAGUGUCGUAUUGAUGGUUAUACUGAUAAAGAUCCACCUUUACCUAUUAAAUGGUACCGAGAACCAAGACCAGAAAAUCUUACUUUAUCGAAUGGAGAAACAACUUGUGAAUGCGGUAAAGUAAUAAAAUUUCCAUCUAUUACCAGAGAUCAACGAGGAGACUAUGUUUGUAGUGUUGACACUGAAUCCGGAAGUGUUUCUAGAUUUCUUAGUGUUGAUGUCCAUUUCGUACCAUUCAUAAAAGAAACAUAUCGUAUAAAUCGUUUUGAAAAAAAAGAAAUCGAGUUACGGUGUUAUGUUGAAUCUUACCCUUCACCUAACGUUAUCUGGAUGAAAGAUAACACAACAUUGUUUGUGAAUGAGCAAUAUCAAAUAGAACAUGAUUCUGAUUACCCUGAUUUAUAUGACUCUACUCUUACCAUAUCAACGAAAUUCGAUUAUUAUGGUAAUUACACAUGUCAAUUUAUAAAUACCAUUGGGCAUUCGACUAUGACUUUUAAUGCGACAGCUCCAGCUUUGACGAGAAACCUUACUUCUUAUUAUGGCAGUGAUAAUGAAUUAUAGAACUCACUAAAUUUUCAUAUUUUUUAUUCUAAAAUUAAAACAAUUUUAUAUACAGGAAAUCAUUCAAUAAUGUUGAUAACGAUCAGAUUCAAUAGCAAUCAGGAGAUAAAGCUCGACUUAUUAAAGAAGAAGUAGCAAGAAUGAAAGAAUUAAGCAGAGUUUCUUAGAGUUGUUAUUACUGUUCCAAA
This 2574-nucleotide unclassified non-coding RNA is filed under the name Chelonus insularis. RNAcentral describes it as "lachesin-like, transcript variant X1". The record is from RNAcentral. Lineage: Eukaryota; Metazoa; Arthropoda; Insecta; Hymenoptera; Braconidae.